AGGACGAACGCUGGCGGCGUGCUUAACACAUGCAAGUCGAGCGAAGUCCAACCGGUGGCAACACCGGGGAAGGCUUAGCGGCGAACGGGUGAGUAACACGUGAGCAACCUGUCCCGAAGACUGGGAUAACACCGGGAAACCGGUGCUAAUACCGGAUACCCCCAUCGGACCGCAUGAUCUGAUGAGGAAAUGAAUUUCGCUUCGGGAGGGGCUCGCGGGCUAUCAGCUAGUUGGUGUGGUCAUGGCACACCAAGGCGACGACGGGUAGC
Molecule: ribosomal RNA, 269 nt
Filed under: uncultured bacterium
Lineage: Bacteria
Description: partial small subunit ribosomal RNA
Rfam family: Bacterial small subunit ribosomal RNA
Source: RNAcentral